CUCCGGCCGCGUUUUUUUUAAUCCCGUCCCCAUUCAUCUCCUGCUCGCGCGCCGCCGUCGCCAAGUCCACGGCACCGCCCGACCACCCCCUCUCCUGGUGCUACCGGCAUUUCCAUGCCAUCCCCGCCUGCCCUCUCGCAACCGCCGUGGAAGAUUGAUGCCAGACCCGCACACCUCCCCUGCACGGCACGCCCCCACCCCACUACCAGAUGCGCCGAUUCCAUCGAUCCCCCUGGUGGCCGCUCUCUGCGAGCAGCUUGGCUGCAACAUCCGGACUUUCUCCUGCUAGGUGCGCGGCCACCCCACUGGAGCAUCGCAGGGAGGGCGGCGGAUCCGUUCUCCCAUAGACCGACCGCCCAGUCCUGGCCCAACUGAGCUCUGUUCUGUCAUUCUGCGAUAGUGGAUGUGCAUUCCAGGAGAUCAUCGGAUCAGCAGCAAAGUUGCAGCUAAUGAGAAACUUAUUGCUAAUACAAGAGUUACUAGGUUGUCAGGUUUCUGAACAUAUGUAGAGAACAGAGAUGUUGCAGCAGUUGUUUGGGAAUUGAUGGCAAACAUUCACAAAUAUGAAGAAUUGUGAUUGGUUCUUGUAUUAUCUCCUUGUCCCUGUAAAACAGUUGAACAGGCAAAUUGUUCCAUGCCGUAUAAGAUUACUCUUUUUUAUUCCAAAAAUUAUUCUUCAUGUCUAUGGCCAAUUACUCUAUUUGUAAUUAUAAACCCAAUUUUGGCAAAUUAUUCCAUGUUCUGUACGAUUUA
Panicum virgatum (switchgrass) is the source of this 753-nucleotide long non-coding RNA. RefSeq lists it as uncharacterized. The record is from RefSeq and is a predicted model, not a curated record. NCBI's taxonomy places the organism in Eukaryota, Viridiplantae, Streptophyta, Magnoliopsida, Poales, Poaceae. The transcript has 2 exons.